Molecule: ribosomal RNA, 691 nt
Filed under: uncultured Jeotgalicoccus sp.
Lineage: Bacteria; Bacillati; Bacillota; Bacilli; Caryophanales; Staphylococcaceae
Description: bacterial SSU rRNA
Rfam family: Bacterial small subunit ribosomal RNA
Source: RNAcentral
AGUCGAGCGCGAAGAUCAGGAGCUUGCUCCUGAGAUUCGAGCGGCGGACGGGUGAGUAACACGUAGGCAACCUACCCUUGAGAUUGGGAUAACUACCGGAAACGGUAGCUAAUACCGGAUACGACAUUCCUGCAUAAGUAAGAAUGUUAAAAGGCGGAUUUAUCUGCCGCUCAUGGAUGGGCCUGCGGUGCAUUAGCUAGUUGGUGAGAUAGUAGCUCACCAAGGCGACGAUGCAUAGCCGACCUGAGAGGGUGAUCGGCCACACUGGGACUGAGACACGGCCCAGACUCCUACGGGAGGCAGCAGUAGGGAAUCUUCCGCAAUGGACGCAAGUCUGACGGAGCAACGCCGCGUGAGUGAUGAAGGGUUUCGGCUCGUAAAACUCUGUUGUUAAGGAAGAACACUUGAGGUAGUAACUGGCCUUGAGAUGACGGUACUUAACCAGAAAGCCACGGCUAACUACGUGCCAGCAGCCGCGGUAAUACGUAGGUGGCAAGCGUUAUCCGGAAUUAUUGGGCGUAAAGCGCGCGUAGGCGGUAAAAUAAGUCUGAUGUGAAAGCCCCCGGCUCAACCGGGGAGGGUCAUUGGAAACUGUUUUACUUGAGUACAGAAGAGGAGAGUGGAAUUCCAUGUGUAGCGGUGAAAUGCGCAGAGAUAUGGAGGAACACCAGUGGCGAAGGCGGCUCUCUGG